CAGCACGGCCGGCCGAGCAGAUGGAGAUCAGGCCGCUGCAGCGCAUGGCGCGCGAGCCCGAGGUCGAGCACUACAAGGGCUACCACAGCUACCCCGUCAGGACCUCCCCGGUCUCCCCCGCUGCGGACUAUGAGGAGGAGCCGCUCUCUGAGCGUGGGCCGCCAUCCCCGGAGCCCCAGGGAGAGCCUCGGAGGCGCGGGGGCACCCCGGUGCAGACACAGGAGCCCGCAGAGAGGCACGCGCCCCAGGUGGAGGCCAAGGCGGAGCCGCCACAGCCCGAGGAGCUCAAGCAGCCCAGGCGGCGGCCCAGCCCCGAGCGCAAGGCAGCGAGCAGGAGCGAGCCCGCUGCUGACAGAAAGACUGAGGGCCGGGCGCCGGGACGGACGGAGCACAAGGCGGGGGCCAAGCGGAGCCCAGCCCCGGUGGUGGCGGUGGCAGCAGCGCAGGAUGCGGAGGAGGGUGACGAGGGACCUAACACAAUUGUGAUCUGCAUGGUCAUCUUACUGAACAUUGGUCUAGCCAUCCUAUUUGUACAUUUUUUGACAUGAGGUCCCCCUCGGACGAGGCAUUGCUGCUCACUGAGACCAUGGACCUUGGUGGGGAUUAAAUCUCAGUCACCUGGAAACACCUAUGAGGAGGACUUGAGAUCCCAAGGUUGCACUGCAAACAUGAACCUUAAGUAAAAGUACCUGAAGAUCCUCCGUUCAGUCUCCCUGCUCCCAGGCUGUGACUGGCCUCUGCAAUCUACCAAGAAAAAGUCAGGAUUUCUACAACUUAACCUCCUUCUCUUCUUUGUAUAAAGUAGCAGUUGCCUUAAAUUAUUCUCACCAAAGCCAUCAACUGCCCUGUCGUGCCAGGGAUGAGGAAUUUAUCUUUAGCUGUAGGAAAAUGAGUGAGAAGGUCUCAUCCACACACUGUGAUGUGUUUUUUAAUUCUCUUGGUUGACUUGAUGUUGAAGAUUUCCCAAAGAAUAUCAUCCACAGCCUGAAAAUGCAACAAUGUGCAACAACCAAAAUGACACCUGAGAGCCGUGCCACGGCUAGGGCUGGACAGCAUCUCCCCCCAUGCUUGUGUGUCAUCCAAAGGGACAAGCAAAAAGUCUUUCCUUUCCCCAUCAUCUGGAGGUGUUUUCCAUGUAUGGAGGACUGAGAGGGGGAGCAUGUUGACAUUGGGCUUGGUGAAGUGUGACCUGCCCAUGCCUGCCAAUGAGCCACGGUUGGGGCUGCGGGGUGGGGUGUGAGGGGCUGGCUGGGGCGAGGCUGCUGGUGUGCCCAGGGGUGCUGCGGGUGCAGACGGUGCCCAUUUCUGGACUGGGCACCAUCCGAGCUCUCUCCUGCCACCAGCAAUGCUCUUGAAAGUGUCUUGCAGCGGGUGACUUCUCACUGUAAUGGGAAAGGAAAUCAAUGUGCAGAAUUUGCCCUUUUACCCUUUUCUUUCCCCUAUGAAAAUGGUGCGAGUUACAAUUAAAGGGUGGUACUUACUGAACAAUACCCCUGUAUACCCACAAGUUCCUCCUCCUCGUAGCGUUGAGCUGUGAGGGGGCUCCAGUGCUGCUUUUUAACCGAAAUAGAGCGGGCAGCCUUUCCUAGCAGAGCAUGCAGGGUGGCUGUCGUGGGAAAGGUGAAGUUAUUCCUGAAAUGAGAAAGGUGCAGAGACCCCAGUGACUCCAGUAUGUUUCGGUAUUGGGCUCAAAACUAUGCAGCAGCCAGCCUUUCAGCAAUGGUAGAGCACAGAGGGGCAAUAAAGCUGUUCUUGUGUGCCA
This 1762-nucleotide long non-coding RNA is filed under the name Chrysolophus pictus (golden pheasant). RNAcentral's name for it is "lncRNA (ENSCPIG00010006872.1)". Lineage: Eukaryota; Metazoa; Chordata; Aves; Galliformes; Phasianidae. The record is from RNAcentral.